Long non-coding RNA from Paramisgurnus dabryanus, 868 nucleotides. RefSeq lists it as uncharacterized. The record is from RefSeq and is a predicted model, not a curated record. NCBI's taxonomy places the organism in Eukaryota, Metazoa, Chordata, Actinopteri, Cypriniformes, Cobitidae.
UAUUCACGUUUAUUAUUUGCCUUUUACUGUACAUUACGUAACCGGUAACCGGAGAUUAACAUAAUGUGCGUGUAGAGCUAAGCUUGCAAGCUAAUUGUUUUGUGUUGUAAUACUGUAUUUCAUAAACAACGUACCAUAUUUACACACGUGUAUGUUGAAUUAUGCAGACUAUCGUUUUUUUAUCUAUGUUGGUUUAGACAUGUUUACAAACUUGCUAAGUUGCUAAGCUAAAUACAAAUACAAAUACCAGCUAAACUGUUACCGGUAAAAUUUGUUCUCAUGAUCAAACUCAAGAAACUCUAAGUACAGAUGAUUUGUUUAAAGUUAUAUGUAUUUUACUGUUGUAUUUACUUGAAGCUUUCUUAGAUUUUGAAACGAAGUAAACACGUAAUGUGUGUUGCUAAUGUUGGGCCAUGUAAUAUGUAAUACAUUAACGUUUUAAUGAAUAGUCUAACGAGUUAUAGUCGUUGUACUCUAUUGUUAUAAUGUCUUUUUGACUGAAUACAUGUUUGUUUUAUUUGUCUAUAUCCUAGAUUCGCAGCUGGACACAUCCUUCUACACUGUAUGCAAACAUGCAACAUCAUUACACACAGUACAAGGAGUCUGACUGGCAUAUGAGGAGCAAAGGAACCCAGGCAGUAGCAUCGUUUCACAAUGUUUCCAUCACCAUCAUCAGUGGAUGCCUUUGCCGUCCGUAGCCUGAGAUUUCAGAUUUGCAGCAAAAAAAAAUUUAUUUUCUCAUUUAUUGGAAUGCUGUGCAGGUAUUUGUACCUUGCAGCCAUCCAUUACAAUGUCACCAAGCCGUAACAAAAGCAGGAGAGGGAAAGUACAAGGCUAUGUUCCCAAAACACACAAGUGACAUACCGUA